Molecule: ribosomal RNA, 253 nt
Filed under: uncultured bacterium
Lineage: Bacteria
Description: partial 16S ribosomal RNA
Rfam family: Bacterial small subunit ribosomal RNA
Source: RNAcentral
UACGUAGGGACCGAGCGUUGUCCGGAUUCAUUGGGCGUAAAGAGCUCGUAGGCGGCCACUCAAGUCGAAUGUGAAACCUCGAGGCUUAACCUCGAGCCUGCAUUCGAUACUGGGCGGCUAGAGUCUGGUAGGGGAAUCUGGAAUUCCUGGUGUAGCGGUGAAAUGCGCAGAUAUCAGGAAGAACACCUAUGGCGAAGGCAGCUCUCUGGGACGGUACUGACGCUGAGACGCGGAAGCGUGGGGAGCGAACAGG